AGCUCCAUUGGCGUAUAUUAAAGUUGUUGCGGUUAAAAAGCUCGUAGUUGGAUCUGUGUAUCGGACGGUCGGUUCGCCGCCCGCGGUGUUUAACUGACCGGUCCGGACGUCCUGCCGGUGGGACCCGGUUCACGCCGGGGCCCGUAACUCCCUCCGUGCUGCUCUUAACCGAGUGGUACGGUGGGCCGGCACGUUUACUUUGAACAAAUUUGAGUGCUCAAAGCAGGCCUUAUGUUGCCUGAAAAUUGUGUGCAUGGAAUAAUGGAAUAGGACCUUGGUUCUAUUUUGUUGGCUUUUCUGAACUCGAGGUAAUGAUUAAUAGGGACAGACGGGGGCAUUCGUAUUGCGACGUUAGAGGUGAAAUUCUUGGAUCGUCGCAAGACGAACCGAUGCGAAAGCGUUUGCCAAGAAUGUUUUCGCUAAUCAAGAACGAAAGUUAGAGGUUCGAAGGCGAUCAGAUACCGCCCUAGUUCUAACCAUAAACGAUGCCAGCCAGCGAUGCGCCGAAGUUCUUUAAAUGACUCGGCGCGCAGCUUCCGGGAAACCAAAGCUUUUGGGUUCCGGGGGAAGUA
RNAcentral lists this ribosomal RNA (572 nucleotides) under Oligoneuria mitra. RNAcentral's name for it is "SSU rRNA". It matches the Rfam family "Eukaryotic small subunit ribosomal RNA", at positions 587 to 1125 of the family's 1831-position model. The record is from RNAcentral. Lineage: Eukaryota; Metazoa; Arthropoda; Insecta; Ephemeroptera; Oligoneuriidae.